UACGGGGGGGGCAAGCGUUGUUCGGAAUUACUGGGCGUAAAGGGUCUGUAGGUGGCUUGCUAAGUCAGACGUGAAAUCCCUCAGCUUAACUGGGGAACUGCGUCUGAGACUGGCGAGCUUGAGGGCAGGAGAGGAACGCGGAGUUCCAGGUGUAGCGGUGAAAUGCGUAGAUAUCUGGAGGAACACCGGUGGCGAAGGCGGCGUUCUGGACUGCAUCUGACACUGAAAGACGAAAGCCAGGGGAGCAAACGGG
RNAcentral lists this ribosomal RNA (253 nucleotides) under uncultured bacterium. RNAcentral's name for it is "partial 16S ribosomal RNA". It matches the Rfam family "Bacterial small subunit ribosomal RNA", at positions 524 to 776 of the family's 1533-position model. The record is from RNAcentral.